GAUCCUGGCUCAGGGUGAACGCUAGCUACAGGCUUAACACAUGCAAGUCGAGGGGCAGCAUGGUCUUAGCUUGCUAAGGCUGAUGGCGACCGGCGCACGGGUGAGUAACACGUAUCCAACCUGCCGUCUACUCUUGGCCAGCCUUCUGAAAGGAAGAUUAACCCAGGAUGGGAUCAUGAGUUCACAUGUCCGCAUGAUUAAAGGUAUUUUCCGGUAGACGAUGGGGAUGCGUU
RNAcentral lists this ribosomal RNA (233 nucleotides) under uncultured bacterium. Its description in RNAcentral is "partial 16S ribosomal RNA". It matches the Rfam family "Bacterial small subunit ribosomal RNA", at positions 15 to 237 of the family's 1533-position model. The record is from RNAcentral.